Pollicipes pollicipes is the source of this 258-nucleotide long non-coding RNA. RefSeq lists it as uncharacterized. The transcript is spliced from 3 exons. The record is from RefSeq and is a predicted model, not a curated record. NCBI's taxonomy places the organism in Eukaryota, Metazoa, Arthropoda, Thecostraca, Pollicipedomorpha, Pollicipedidae.
CUCAGCAGCGCCUCUACCGGACGGCCUGGAAAACUACCAGCAGGGGCCCGUCUCCAUGGCCGACUACGGCUCCCACUACGCGUACCCGCAGCACGCCGCCUACGGCUACAGCUACAGCUCCCCCGGCGGCCUGCUGAGCAAGUGACACCCGUGCUCGUUUUUCGUACAGCAGUGUGGCGGCGCCAGCCUGACUGAGGGAGAUCAGCCGUCUGCGCAGUGGGUGUCUGCGCGGUCAGUGUCGGCGCAGUCGGCGUCUGA